RNAcentral lists this ribosomal RNA (446 nucleotides) under uncultured bacterium. Its description in RNAcentral is "bacterial SSU rRNA". It matches the Rfam family "Bacterial small subunit ribosomal RNA", at positions 330 to 792 of the family's 1533-position model. The record is from RNAcentral.
UCCAGACUCCUACGGGAGGCAGCAGUGGGGGAUAUUGCACAAUGGGGGAAACCCUGAUGCAGCGACGCCGCGUGGGUGAAGAAGUAUUUCGGUAUGUAAAGCCCUCUCAGCAGGGAAGAAAGAAGACGGUACCUGACUAAGAAGCCCCGGCUAACUACGUGCCAGCAGCCGCGGUAAUACGUAGGGGGCGAGCGUUAUCCGGAUUCACUGGGUGUAAAGGGAGCGUAGACGGCCGUGCAAGCCAGGAGUGAAAGCCCGGGGCCCAACCCCGGGACUGCUCUUGGAACUGUGCGGCUGGAGUGCGGGAGGGGCAGGCGGAAUUCCUGGUGUAGCGGUGAAAUGCGUAGAUAUCAGGAGGAACACCGGCGGCGAAGGCGGCCUGCUGGACCGCGACUGACGUUGAGGCUCGAAAGCGUGGGGAGCGAACAGGAUUAGAUACCCCGGUA